RNAcentral lists this ribosomal RNA (307 nucleotides) under uncultured soil eukaryote. RNAcentral's name for it is "eukaryotic LSU rRNA". The record is from RNAcentral.
CCCUCUCUCGCCCCCUUUUCCUUGUUUUCACGAACGCGCGUUUUUGGGGCGUAGCCUGGCCCUCUCGGCGCGUCUGCUUUUUUGUUUCAAGAGCGUUCCGGCGCGUGUGGCUGAAACGCAGAGGCUUGAGCAGCGACCUCGUGUUGUCUGACCCUGGGCGACGGCUUGGUAGGUCGGGCUUGUCCCACACCCCCGCCGCCGCCUUGUGGUCCUGCUGGGAGCCGCGCAGGAAAUUUUCUCUUUAAAUUUCGACCUGAGCUCAGGCAAGGCUACCCGCUGAACUUAAGCAUAUCAAUAAGCGGAGUGA